RNAcentral lists this ribosomal RNA (440 nucleotides) under uncultured bacterium. RNAcentral's name for it is "bacterial SSU rRNA". It matches the Rfam family "Bacterial small subunit ribosomal RNA", at positions 338 to 769 of the family's 1533-position model. The record is from RNAcentral.
CCUACGGGUGGCAGCAGUGGGGGAUAUUGCGCAAUGGGCGAAAGCCUGACGCAGCGACGCCGCGUGGGUGAUGAAGGCCUUCGGGUCGUAAAGCCCUGUCGAGGGGGACGAACCGGUUGCGAUCGAAUAGAUCGCAGCCCUGACGGUACCCCUAAAGGAAGCACCGGCUAACUCCGUGCCAGCAGCCGCGGUAAUACGGAGGGUGCGAGCGUUGUUCGGAAUCACUGGGCGUAAAGCGCGUGUAGGCGGCCUGCUAAGUCUGAUGUGAAAGCCCGAGGCUCACCCUCGGAAGUGCAUUGGAAACUGGCAGACUGGAGUCCCGGAGAGGAGGGUGGAAUUCCUGGUGUAGCGGUGAAAUGCGUAGAUAUCAGGAGGAACACCGGUGGCGAAGGCGGCCCUCUGGACGGUGACUGACGCUGAGGCGCGAAAGCUAGGGGAGC